CCCCUAGUACGGCGAGUGAAGCGGGAACAGCUCAAAUUUGAAAUCUGGCCCUUGGGUCCGAGUUGUAAUUUGCAGAGGAUGCUUUUGGUGCGGUGCCUUCCGAGUUCCCUGGAACGGGACGCCUUAGAGGGUGAGAGCCCCGUACGGUUGGCCACCAAGCCUGUGUAAAGCUCCUUCGACGAGUCGAGUAGUUUGGGAAUGCUGCUCAAAAUGGGAGGUAUAUUUCUUCUAAAGCUAAAUACUGGCCAGAGACCGAUAGCGCACAAGUAGAGUGAUCGAAAGAUGAAAAGCACUUUGAAAAGAGGGUUAAAUAGCACGUGAAAUUGUUGAAAGGGAAGGAUUUAUGACCAGACUUUUUCUGGGGGGAUCAUCCGGUGUUCUCACCGGUGCACUUCCCCCAGUUGAGGCCAGCAUCGGUUUCUGCCGGGGGAUAAAAGCUUCGGGAAUGUGGCUCCUUCGGGAGUGUUAUAGCCCGUUGCAUAAUACCCUGGCGGGGACCGAGGUUCGCGCAUUGCAAGGAUGCUGGCGUAAUGGUUAUUAAUCACCCGUCUUGAAACACGGACCAAGGAGUCGAACAUUUGUGCGAGUGUUUGGGUGUUAAACCCUCACGCGUAAUGAAAGUGAACGGAGGUGAGAGCCCCUCGGGGUGCAUCAUCGACCGAUCCUGAUGUCUUCGGAUGGAUUUGAGUAAGAGCAUAACUGUUCGGACCCGAAAGAUGGUGAACUAUGCGUGGAUAGGGUGAAGCCAGAGGAAACUCUGGUGGAGGCUCGCAGCGGUUCUGACGUGCAAAUCGAUCGUCAAAUCUGCGCAUGGGGGCGAAAACUAUCGA
This 830-nucleotide ribosomal RNA is filed under the name Apiospora sp. RNAcentral describes it as "partial large subunit ribosomal RNA". It matches the Rfam family "Eukaryotic large subunit ribosomal RNA", at positions 77 to 938 of the family's 3401-position model. Lineage: Eukaryota; Fungi; Ascomycota; Sordariomycetes; Amphisphaeriales; Apiosporaceae. The record is from RNAcentral.